GAUGAACGCUGGCGGCGUGCCUAAUACAUGCAAGUCGAGCGAAUGGAUUAAGAGCUUGCUCUUAUGAAGUUAGCGGCGGACGGGUGAGUAACACGUGGGUAACCUGCCCAUAAGACUGGGAUAACUCCGGGAAACCGGGGCUAAUACCGGAUAACAUUUUGAACCGCAUGGUUCGAAAUUGAAAGGCGACUUCGGCUGUCACUUAUGGAUGGACCCGCGUCGCAUUAGCUAGUUGGUGAGGUAACGGCUCACCAAGGCAACGAUGCGUAGCCGACCUGAGAGGGUGAUCGGCCACACUGGGACUGAGACGCGGCCCAGACUCCUACGGGAGGCAGCAGUAGGGAAUCUUCCGCAAUGGACGAAAGUCUGACGGAGCAACGCCGCGUGAGUGAUGAAGGCUUUCGGGUCGUAAAACUCUGUUGUUAGGGAAGAACAAGUGCUAGUUGAAUAAGCUGGCACCUUGACGGUACCUAACCAGAAAGCCACGGCUAACUACGUGCCAGCAGCCGCAGUAA
This 515-nucleotide ribosomal RNA is filed under the name uncultured bacterium. Its description in RNAcentral is "partial 16S ribosomal RNA". It matches the Rfam family "Bacterial small subunit ribosomal RNA", at positions 28 to 523 of the family's 1533-position model. The record is from RNAcentral.